UACUUCUCUUUUGCCACUUCCACUCCAGAAAGCUAAUUUUCAACCACUAAAAUGGAAUUUAGGAUUUAGAAAUAGCUACUGUGUUGACUAAUUAAAAAAAAAAAAUCCCCUGAUUACAUAGCCAAUUGCCUUUUCAAGUACACCCAAUUUUACUUUUUUCCUUUCUAGUAACAACACCCUGGUGUAAAAACAAAAUCAAACCGAGGAAACUCACUGCAGAGUUUCAGAUUCAUCUCAUCUCUCAUUUCUUGCCCCGAUAACCAUCUCUCUCCCCACCCACCACCCCAUGCAGCAGUAGAUUGUCCUUUAAAGAAAAACACGCGGAGACAAUCUAGGGUGUAUGCACAGACUCAUUAAAAUCCCUCCUGUCCAGUCUCUGCCCCUCCCCGCAGCCUGCCCGUUGGCUGCUGGGCGCCGCCUGAUCCAGCCCUGCACUCGGUGGUACAAUAUGUGGAGCUCAGACUGCUCUUUCUCUCUCUCUCCUCUCUCCCCUUCUGCCUCCCCCGGAGCGAGUGGCUCGUUUUAAACCCUCGCACACUCGCUGAUCCAGGUGGCGUCGCUCGCUGCGGCUCCUGCUCGCUGUUGCUAAGUGAGAGGCACCAAAUCGCACGGAAAGCUGAACCAAUAGCAUCCUGACCCCCAGAGGCUGGUAAAAGCUGAAGAAAGAGAACCCCACCGUGCGGUCUGCGACCGGCGGGUCCUCCUCCCCCUCCCACCUUUUCUUUUGCAACAGGAAGGGGAGGUGGCAAGGGAGAUGGUAGGAGGAAGAGGGAAGAAAGAAGGGGGGAGGUGGAUCCUAAUACGCUUGGCUGUACUUGAGAUAAAUGCCUUUUUUUUUUUCUUUGUGAAGGAAGAGGAACGGUCGCUUCCCCCGUGCAAUCGCACACCAGCAGAUGCGCUUCUCUCUGCCCCCAAACUGCCUGCGUGGUCAGGGCUCAUCUGAAUAAGAUGUCUGUUGACCUGCACAUCCGCGCGGCUUUUCUCUCUCCCCGCGCAGCCUGCAAUCUUUGAAUCCCGCAGUUCUGCGGAUCUGGGCACCCUGUUCCUUCCUCCUGCUCUCUCUCUCUCUCGCCUUUCCUUUCUGUCUUGUGACAGUCUCCUCCCAUUCCUGAGUGCAUUUCCUUUGAAUGCAAAAAUGAGCAAAGGGUAUUUUAUGUGUCAUCUCCUGACGUCCUUAGAUCAUUUUAGGGAGUGGGACAAGGGCAGAGGCAUAUUUAUAAAGGUAAUUAAAAAAAAAACACACACACAACCCAUUAAGGAUUCAUAGUCUUUUGGCAAGGUCUGUGCUAGUACAAAGUGAAAUGAGAGGCUGUUCUUAACUGGCUCACUGCCAGUGUAGACAGCCAGUGGUAUAGUUGAGAUUAUACCCAGGAAAUGACCUUUCUCCUAUAAUUACCAGGAUAUUUUAGGCAACAUCAGACCCGAGUUACCUGGGUAAUUAUGGCUUUGUAGAUCUGACCUUAGAACAAAACAGAUUCGGUGGAAAAUGUUUGCUCUCUUUGGUGAUGACAGUGUGAAGGUGCCCCUUGCCCUCACAGCCACAGGAAGCCUAAGUUCAAGGAGACUUUCCUCCAUUCUGUGUCAAGCAGGUUCCCAGCAAGUUGCUCCUGACCUUUUGGAGAUGGCGCUAUUGUUUGGUUGCUUUGAGAAACUAAUCUGCAUUUAUUUCUGAACCAAGGAUGUUGAGGUGCUCUGUAACCUCCUGGGUUUGCUCUGUUUGGGUGGGAUGUCAGAGGACCAUGUCAGGCUUAGAUGGCCCACUUGCCCCGGAAGUGUUCUCUUUGUAUUUGAAAUCCCUUCCCUUCACUCAAGGUCACACAGAGGAAUGACUAUUAUUCUCAUCCUCCACCUGCUUCUCCCAGCCUUUAUACUCAUUUGGGGCUUUUUGUUUGUUUAUGUGAACAAAACGAAACUGCUUUCAUAAAGAAAGUAUCUGCUUAAGCAAAAGGGAAGCCCCACUGAAAAACCUUACCCAGUGCUGAAUGUCUGGGACAUUUUCCUUUUUUGUCUCAAAAGUUUCUUUUUCUCAUUAUCAUGAGAAGAUAGUCAGGCUGCCAGCCCUUGUUUAUAAUAUUUAAAGAGAAAAUUCAUAGAUAACCUUCAAACCUCAUUUUACUUUCAGUCUCCUCCAAGUUAAACCGAAGGGAUUUAUGGGUCACCCAACACCUUAGUCUACUGUGCCUAUUCUGGGGGAAAGAUGUUAAUGACAAACUAAUGCUGCAAAAAUGGGCCCAGAAGUUAAGAAACAAGACAGACAGACAGACCAACAAAUCCUAUACAGGCGCUGUGCUCCGCCAAGGAAACCUGCCAGGACCAGCUCCUCUGCUUCUGGUUUAUAAUUCUCCUCCUCCAAACCCCAGCUUCACACCACUCCCAACUCAUUUGGCCACACACAGACCCCUCUAAGUCCCCCAGCACUUUCCCCUCGAGUGCACACUGGUCUGACAUCCUUCGUGGGCCUCCUUAUAAGGCCUCUGUCAGAUUGCCCUGGGGACCUGCUGUGUCCUCUGCUCUGUGCCUUUGCUUACAGGUGCCCUCUGUCCAGACCGUUCCUUUCCCUCAAGCCUCUCCCGUGGAUAACUUGGUCUGAGAAGUGCUCUUAAAUACAAUUUCCCCAGUGAACGCUCUCUCAGGGUCUCCCCCUCAGACUUUAUCUUCCAGUCCUUUGAAGCACCAUGGCUACCUUUUCCUUUCCUCUUUUGGAACUUUUUACUUUCUACUUUCAGUUGAACUUGCUGCAUCCUGGGUAGUACUGGUGCAGCCCAAGGAGGUCUCUAGUCCCUCUCUUGUGUCCACUUUGGCAUUCCUGCAAAGCCACAUCAAAUAAAUAUAUAAUUGCACACAGA
Molecule: long non-coding RNA, 2846 nt
Organism: Ictidomys tridecemlineatus (thirteen-lined ground squirrel)
Lineage: Eukaryota; Metazoa; Chordata; Mammalia; Rodentia; Sciuridae
Source: RefSeq, a predicted model, not a curated record